UUCCAUCGCUAAGUCAAGGCUCCUUUCUUGCUUGUUUGCAAUUUUCUCCAUGAGAGUCGCCUGUUACAGCUUUGGUACAUUAAGCAGCGCUCGCCACUUUAGUGGUUUUCGACAUGGCGUCCGUCUUGGAAGCCUUGUCAUUAGAGCGCAUGGCGUGUUUCGUUUGAGUUGAGGUCUGCUUGGGCCGAGAUUAUUCUACGCCUUCAUCUCAUAGCACACCUCUUAGUAAUGUCACACACAUGC
Molecule: small nucleolar RNA, 243 nt
Filed under: Capronia epimyces CBS 606.96
Lineage: Eukaryota; Fungi; Ascomycota; Eurotiomycetes; Chaetothyriales; Herpotrichiellaceae
Description: Small nucleolar RNA snR191
Rfam family: Small nucleolar RNA snR191
Source: Rfam by way of RNAcentral